UACGUAGGGUGCAAGCGUUAAUCGGAAUUACUGGGCGUAAAGCGUGCGCAGGCGGUGUUGUAAGUCCGAUGUGAAAUCCCCGGGCUCAACCUGGGAACGGCAUUUGUGACUGCAUCGCUGGAGUGCGGCAGAGGGGGAUGGAAUUCCGCGUGUAGCAGUGAAAUGCGUAGAUAUGCGGAGGAACACCGAUGGCGAAGGCAAUCCCCUGGGCCUGCACUGACGCUCAUGCACGAAAGCGUGGGGAGCAAACAGG
RNAcentral lists this ribosomal RNA (253 nucleotides) under uncultured bacterium. RNAcentral's name for it is "partial 16S ribosomal RNA". It matches the Rfam family "Bacterial small subunit ribosomal RNA", at positions 524 to 776 of the family's 1533-position model. The record is from RNAcentral.